Molecule: ribosomal RNA, 497 nt
Filed under: uncultured bacterium
Lineage: Bacteria
Description: partial 16S ribosomal RNA
Rfam family: Bacterial small subunit ribosomal RNA
Source: RNAcentral
GAUGAACGCUGGCGGCGUGCCUAAUACAUGCAAGUCGAGCGAACAGACGAGGAGCUUGCUCCUCUGACGUUAGCGGCGGACGGGUGAGUAACACGUGGAUAACCUACCUAUAAGACUGGGAUAACUUCGGGAAACCGGAGCUAAUACCGGAUAAUAUAUUGAACCGCAUGGUUCAAUAGUGAAAGACGGUUUUGCUGUCACUUAUAGAUGGAUCCGCGCCGCAUUAGCUAGUUGGUAAGGUAACGGCUUACCAAGGCAACGAUGCGUAGCCGACCUGAGAGGGUGAUCGGACACAUGGGAACUGAGACACGGUACAGACUCCUACGGGAGGAAGCAGUAGGGAAUCUUACGCAAUGGGCGAAAGCCUGACGGAGCAACGCCGCGUGAGUCAUGAAGGUCUUCGGAUCGUAAAACUAUGUUAUUAGGGAAGAACAAAUGUGUAAGUAACUAUGAACGUCUUGACGGUACCUAAUCAGAAAGCCACGGCUAACUACGUG